RNAcentral lists this long non-coding RNA (5883 nucleotides) under Lynx pardinus (Iberian lynx). The record is from RNAcentral. Lineage: Eukaryota; Metazoa; Chordata; Mammalia; Carnivora; Felidae.
UAUUGGUCUCCUUUCCCUCCUGCCUCCUUGUCCACUACCCCUGGGGCGGAGGGGGUCUCUUAGUGUGAGAAUGCAGGAAAACAACGCUACAGGAGGCCACUCAUAUAAGCCAGGUUGGCAAAGCAGGGCUUGCUGUGCUCUCCUCUGAAGGGUGUUAGCUUUCUCAGACGGCGCCAGGAGGAGAUCAUUCUGGGACAGGAAGAUUGAAACAGCAGAGCAAGGCAGACUGGUCUGCAGCAGACUCCAUUUUGGUUGAAAGGUGACCAGACAGGAAUAGUCAAGAUCUACUUUGCCUCAUUCUAACUGUGACCCUAAUCUGCUGUGACUAAGGUUACUGUCUUUCUGUUGAUGGACUGCUCCUGUGGCCCGUUGAGACAUUGUGAGACAUAACAGUUGGGGUCCGUGUAAAAGGAGCCUUAGAACUAUCUAGUGCAUUUGCUCAUUCAUGCGGUGGUGUUUGUUGAGUACCUGCCGUGUGCCUCAUACAGGUCUGGGCUCUGGGGAUACAACGUGAUGAGACAGACAUAGGUCCUUCUCUCAUGGAGACCACCUCUUAGCAGGAUGUCCACUCCCUCCUUUUCAGAUGCCUGAGGCUCAGAGUGACUUGUCCAAAGUCAUACAGUCAGGUGAGAAAAGAAUUUGCUGAGUAUGUACCGCUGGUCCCCUGGAGGAUAGAGCAGAAAUAGACAACCCAGCCGGUGCCACAAACAAACUUGUUAGAGAGAUGAGACUUAUGCCCAAGAUAGUAUAAGGAUUUAGGCAGCACAGGCUAGGUGAGUAGACAGUAAUUAUUUAAUUGCUUUAGUUACUUAAGGGCAGUUUUUGUGCCAAAACAAAUUAGUCAGGGGGGUUGUUUUUGUGUUUGUUGUUUGUUUCUUUAAAGUUCAAUUUAUUAAGGUACACAUUUGAAACUCAAGUUCUUGAUUUUAAAUUCUGCUUAUAAGUAAAGAUUUGUACAUCUAGAAAAUCUGAAAAAUCAUUUUUGAAGGCCUUAGAUUAACAUGUUGUAUCACUUCCAAAUGCAGUUAAACUACUUUAAAUAUUUUAGACUGUGUGUACAAAUUUAAUACAUUUGAUUUCCUUUUGAAGUAACUCAAUUGCCUGAUUUAACAAAACAUCCUGAGUACUUGAAUCAGCUCUUAAAGAAUUAACGGGUCACAAUCUUAAAAGUGUGGUGGUUAAAAGAAAAGCUUAAGUUUUCUUAGAUGUUUCAAUGCUAUAUAAACUUAGUGAGGUUUCUACUUGAAGUCAAAAGUCUAAAUUAGUUAUCCACCUGACAUUCAGGAUGAAAUUUCAACAUUGAUCUCUUUACAACUGAAAUAGGCCAAAUUAUCCUAAGUUUUUCACAUACCUAAAAUACCAAACGUGCACAGAUUCCUAAGGCAAAAUAUUAAUGCUGUAGUUUUGAUACUCUUAAACAUUUCUAUACUUGGUUUUACCUCUUUCUCAAAUAAAAGGUAUCAGGGGACAAUUCAGAUCAUCCUGCCGUAUUCUCGGCGUUUGGGGGGUUGCUUUCUCAGCUUGCUGGAGAUUACACAGCAAGCAGAGAUUUUGGUCUAGAUACUGACUCAACCCUCACCUGUUGCCCCCAUUGUCAAGAACGCUCCUUGCGGUGUCCCCAGGCAUGGCUUUCCCUUUCAUGUUGGACAGUGAGUGAUCCUGCUGUUCAAAGAAACUUUCAGCUUGCCUUCAAUUUGAUUGGUCAUUUGGUUGAAUUUUACUUUUCUUUGGAUCUUAAGAUACGUAAAAGUAUUUUAUGUCAAACACAAAACAGCCUUGAAUUGGGAGAUUCCUGCGUUGUCUGAUCACCCCUAUUUUUAGAACCUCACAACUCCUAGGAGUAUUAAGAUGUCAAUGCGUGUUCUACUGUGGGUAGUGAGUCACUUCCAUCUGUGACAUGUGGACAGGCCUUCCUCGACUUCACGGUCACAUUUUAAGGGGCACCUGGGUGAUUUGGUCGGUUAAGUGUCCAACUUCAGGUCAGUCAUGAUCUCAGGGUUUGUGAGUUCAAGCCCCGCGUCAGGCUCUCUGUGUUUCCCUCUCUCUCUGUUUCUCCCUCUCUCUCUCUCUCUCUCUCUCUCUCUCUCUGUCUCUCUCUCUCUCUCUCUCUCUCAAAAAUAAACAUUUAAAAAAAAUGUUAAGUCACAUUUUAAGAUGAGGCCCUGGCCUUCGAGGAAUGUACGGUUUGGCAUUCUUUUCUCUUUCCAGAGCUCCUUAAAGAGGUACAUUUCCUCAGAUAUACCUCUUGAAAUCUCUCCUACACCUGCCACAGGACGGCCAGUGUACCUGCAAGGGGAGUCACAGAUAUUGGAGGAAUUGAAUAGGAAAUUAUGGGAAACUGUGGACUUGAGUGGAAAGUUGAGGUAGAAUUGAUUCAGUAGAGACACAGACUGAAGGUUAAUCUUUGAAGAAGUCGAGCAGCACAGAGGGUGUAAACUGACAGAAAGGUAAGAUCUAAGGAGGCAUCCUGUAGGUUGAUGAGAAUGAGAGAGUUCAGAGAAACAUGAUAAUAAGAAAUAAAUGGAGCGGGCGCUGACCGUAGCCAGCCUCUCUCUUACAUGUUGUGGAUGUGUUGACUAACUCACUUCCUUCUCCCGGCAUCCCUAGAGGGCAGAUGCCAUCAUUAUUGCCAUUUUUCCAGAAGGAGGAAAGAGCUGUACCAAAGAGCUUAAGUCACGUAUUCUCGGACUGUGUGUGGGAUGAUUGAAGAUCUUUCAGCAGACACUUCGGUGUGACCUGUGAAGAAGCAGCGGUGUCCCCCGAGCCCCCCUUCCCAGUCUUGCUGGCUGGGCCUGCCGUCAGAGUUCGGUUCUGUCUGCCUGGAAGCUAUCCUCUCAUGCGAGGUGCUCGCCGGAGUGCUUGAGGAUGGAGCAGGGCCAGGUCAAGCUUGCAAAACAGAUUUAAGGCGAGGGUUUUGUGCCUGCUUGGCGAUAGUGCUGCUUGUUUAGCAGAAUUUGAUCUCAGACUUGCUGCCAUGGUAACGGGCACCUGUCAGUGAGCUUGUGCAGGGCUGCCUUACCUCUGAUCUCCAGAGAUUGCUAUUGUCUCCCAGAAGCCGUGACAAUUGCCUAACUACCCCACAGCCGAGGGCAGCUUGAAACUGCCCCAGGUCACAUGGCUGCUAGGUGGCAGUGCUCACAUAAAAGAUGUCAGCAAGGCACUCAUCUUUCAUUUUUUAUUUACUUAUUAAAUAAAAGGUAUUAGCACGGCACACUGCCACUCUGUCAGAGGAGGUGCACACAGGCCAGCAGGGUCCUGGCGAGGGGGCAGGGCUUUUGGGCAAAGGGCAGAACUAGAGACAGUAGUUGUUUUAAGAGGAGAGAUUCCUUCGAGUCAGGAAAGGGGGUGAUGGCGUGAAGGCCUAGAAUUAGGCACCUCUAAUUCUAGAGGUGGAGGGAGGAGAAGCUUCUGCCUGGUGGCUCGCGUUUCCUUGGUGAAGCGGAGAUCCAGGACUCGGGUUGAAGUAAAGGGGGUGGGAUUGGUAGAGGGCUUAAGUUCAGCGGCGACUGGACACAGUGCCUUUUGUUCGCCUCGUUCACAGUCGUCUGGGAAGCAGGGCUAUCCGGGACCAGGAGGGUAGAGCUUCUCUGAAGAGAAGCCUAGGAGGCUGAGCACAGAUGGCCCUAGGGUCUAGGUAGAGCGUUUGUCCCGACCCCUGGCACCUAUUAAGAUGUCCAGGUCAUUCAAUAGGAGGCCAAGGAUCCCUGCCCGUCCUUCUCAUGAUCAGUGAGAAGAAGGACAGAGCACAGGCUGAGGGACCAAGUAGCCAGAGACACUUGCUCAGCAGGGCUCAGCGAGUCUGGAAGGGGAAGAUGACGGGGCAUUUUCCAGUCUCUUCCGAAAGUGCAUGGGAGUUUUGGAUGCGCGUCUUGAAUUUUAAGACUCCCUGAGGUCAAAGAGGAGGACAGUCAGUUCUGGAGGAGAUGAAAUGGCUUUGCCUUUUGUUUCUCUGCAAGAGCUGAUGAAUAAUUCAAGGCAAUGGUGAGGAAGUGGGCUCUGUAGGACAGGCCAGCUUGGAGCACAUUCAUCCUGGUGGGUUGCCGUGGGACUGAGCUCUGUCUCCAUCUUGUAUGCUCCUCAGCCUCCCUGGCCCUGAGCCCACAUGGCUCCCGUGGAGCCGUGCUCCCUUUCAGCCAAGGGGAUGAAUGUCUGCUACAGAAAGGCCCUGGAAGAACUUCAAAACUCAGGCAGAGACAAGCAGGCGUGAAGAGGCCAGCUGCCUUCCUCUCGGGCAUUUGCUUUGUACUGCGAGGACCAAUGAGGGGCACUGCUAAGGGACGGGGAGAGGUGAGAAAGUGGGUUGGCCGGCUGGGGAGUCCCACAGGCCUGCUGGACCUUGCUCCUGCCUGCCCAUGUGUGGCCACGGGCUUCUUUCUCUACUCAGCUGGAGACAGUCUGUCCGGGACGGACAAAAUGCACCUUUUAAGUAGCCCUUCCCCCCAGGACUCACCUUUGAUCUCAAUUUGCUGGUUCCCGUUUAAAGGAGUAGAUGUCAAGAGCCCUCCAAUGCAGCAGAUGCCCACCUCCAGCUGGAACUGAAUUUACACACCAGUAAAUCAGAGAGUUAAUAAUCAAACUGUCUGGAUUUUGCCUUCAAAUUCGGCCAUCAGUGUAUUCUUAUUGUAUCCUGUAGCACCUAAAAAUACCUUUGAGGCACUUUAAGUACACAAAACACCACACUGCUUGUCUUUGUUAAGAGUGGCCGUGCAAAGGUCCUGGCACCAACGCCUGAUGACCCAACGCAAGAGCCGGCUGCCGCCUUCCUCACCGCGUGGAAGACUUGAAGACUUGCCUAGGCAGCCACACGUGAAGGAAGAGAAAAGGGUGUCCGUGCAAAAUAAUGGCAUUUCUGGGUAUCAUGUUUUCUUUAUGUAGGUAGUCAGCUCUAUGAAAGUGUGUUUAGCGACUCAGUCAUAAACGAAUUUGAGAACUUUUGGCAGUCAAACCAAGGUCUUGUAUGGGACAAGGGAAUGGAUGUUGAUCUCAGGAAACCCCUCAUCAGUCUUCAGCAAUGUUCCCCAAAAUACAGAGGAAGGGAACCCCUGUGUGGGUGCAAAUUCUCCUCCAGGACUCAACCUCCUGACUUAGAGGCACUCCCUGCAGUCAGCGUGGUCUGACCCCUUUUUGGUCUCCCAGGAAAAAUUAGACUUCUUCAUUCGAACAGAAGUCCUCACUGUUUUGUAAAGUAGUGCUCCCCUCUCCAAAUAAAAACAUGGACCUGAGAGUAAAGGAAUGGUGUCAUGGUACUGUGAGUGUGUGUGUAUACUGGGACGUGGGGGAGGGGCCCUGGGGGAGUCACUAUAAACACAGAGCCAUGAGAAUCUGCUCAUCACUUAGCAAGCACAGAUCGAGUGCCCACAGAAUAGCUUGAUGUAGGAAUUAGAUGAAUUGAGACAAUAGUAACAAUGAUAAUAGAACACUUUCUAUGACUAAACUCUAUUCCAAGUGGCUAUGAUCUGAAUAUUUGUGCCCCCCCCCCAUCAAAUUCAUGUAUUGAAAUCAAACCCCUAAGGUGCUGGCAUUAAGAAGUGGGGCCAUUGGGAAAUGAUUCGGUUGCUAAAGCAGAGCCCUUAUAAAUGGGAUUAAUGCCUAUAAAAGACGCCAGAGAGUUCCCUUGUCCCUUCUGCCAUGUAAGGGCACAGUGAGAAGACAGCCAUCAGUGGGAAAGCUGACUCUCAGCAGACACAGAAUCUGCCAGAGCCAUAAUCUUGGGCUUCCCAGCAGCCAGAACUGUGAGAAACCCAUUUCUGUUGUCCUUAAGCCUCCCGGUUUGUGAUAUUUUUUAUUAUAGCAGGUGAAGAAAGUAAAGCACAAACCCUCCUAUGUUUUGGGAAAUGUGUAAUUUGGUGAAGAGGAACACUGUAUACCCAGGUACCAGAAAAC